GACGAACGCUGGCGGCGUGCUUAACACAUGCAAGUCGAACGCUGAAGCUUGGUGCUUGCACUGGGUGGAUGAGUGGCGAACGGGUGAGUAAUACGUGAGUAACCUGCCCUUGACUCUGGGAUAAGCCUGGGAAACUGGGUCUAAUACUGGAUACGACAUGUCACCGCAUGGUGGUGUGUGGAAAGGGUUUUACUGGUUUUGGAUGGGCUCACGGCCUAUCAGCUUGUUGGUGGGGUAAUGGCUCACCAAGGCGACGACGGGUAGCCGGCCUGAGAGGGUGACCGGCCACACUGGGACUGAGACACGGCCCAGACUCCUACGGGAGGCAGCAGUGGGGAAUAUUGCACAAUGGGCGGAAGCCUGAUGCAGCGACGCCGCGUUAGGGAUGACGGCCUUCGGGUUGUAAACCUCUUUCAGCACGGAAGAAGCGAAAGUGACGGUACGUGCAGAAGAAGCGCCGGCUAACUACGUG
RNAcentral lists this ribosomal RNA (472 nucleotides) under uncultured bacterium. RNAcentral's name for it is "partial 16S ribosomal RNA". It matches the Rfam family "Bacterial small subunit ribosomal RNA", at positions 28 to 507 of the family's 1533-position model. The record is from RNAcentral.